RNAcentral lists this transfer RNA (73 nucleotides) under Stegodyphus mimosarum. It matches the Rfam family "tRNA". From Rfam's summary of the family: Transfer RNA (tRNA) molecules are approximately 80 nucleotides in length. Their secondary structure includes four short double-helical elements and three loops (D, anti-codon, and T loops). Lineage: Eukaryota; Metazoa; Arthropoda; Arachnida; Araneae; Eresidae. The record is from Rfam by way of RNAcentral.
GCCUUCGUGGUGUCAUGGUCAGCACACUCGGCCCGUAUUCGACAGGCCCGAGGUUCGAAUCCUGGCGAGGGUA